CCUACGAGAGGCUGCAGUGGGGAAUAUUGGACAAUGGGCGAAAGCCUGAUCCAGCCAUGCCGCGUGUGUGAAGAAGGCCUUCGGGUUGUAAAGCACUUUCAGUGGGGAAGAAAGCCUUGGGGCUAAUACCCUCGAGGAAGGACAUCACCCACAGAAGAAGCACCGGCUAACUCCGUGCCAGCAGCCGCGGUAAUACGGAGGGUGCGAGCGUUAAUCGGAAUUACUGGGCGUAAAGCGCGCGUAGGCGGUCUGAUAAGCCGGUUGUGAAAGCCCCGGGCUCAACCUGGGAACGGCAUCCGGAACUGUCAGGCUAGAGUGCAGGAGAGGAAGGUAGAAUUCCCGGUGUAGCGGUGAAAUGCGUAGAGAUCGGGAGGAAUACCAGUGGCGAAGGCGGCCUUCUGGACUGACACUGACGCUGAGGUGCGAAAGCGUGGGUAGCAAACAGGAUUAGAUACCCUAGUAGUC
This 465-nucleotide ribosomal RNA is filed under the name Vreelandella stevensii. Its description in RNAcentral is "partial 16S ribosomal RNA". It matches the Rfam family "Bacterial small subunit ribosomal RNA", at positions 338 to 795 of the family's 1533-position model. Lineage: Bacteria; Pseudomonadati; Pseudomonadota; Gammaproteobacteria; Oceanospirillales; Halomonadaceae. The record is from RNAcentral.